This 73-nucleotide transfer RNA is filed under the name Schistosoma mansoni. Lineage: Eukaryota; Metazoa; Platyhelminthes; Trematoda; Strigeidida; Schistosomatidae. The record is from RNAcentral.
GAUGGAUAGUGGCCGAGUGGAUAACGCGAUGGCGUUUGAAGCGAGGGUACUGGGUUCGAGUCCCAGAGUGAAC